CAGCGUCCUGAGCCGCUACUCAUAAUCUGGGUUGUUAGUUGCUAUGUUAGUACAACUAUUUGCAUGUUGCCGGAUGGUUAGGUGCUGGGUCAAGUUUCAGCUUGGUAGCAAAGUGUGUGGGCGUGCUGUAUAUGCGACAUUUAUCAGGUUAUCUAUGCAACCGUGGGUGUUGGCUGUCGCAUAUGUGUGCACACAAAUUGUUGUUCUCGCUGCCAGUUCAGAUGCUGCCAUGUUUCUUCUUGCCUAUGUUCAGUGGCUAUGCUCUAGGGUCCUCGCUGUUAAUUUAUGUCAUCACAACCAGUAAACUUUCUGAGCUGGAAUGUCCGGGGCCUUAACUGUCCGAACCGGCGGUCGACAGUUAAUGCUACUAUCGCUUCCUCCUCCUGUCAUGUAGUGUGCCUCCAGGAAACGAAGCUUGACAAUAUCGAUCAGUUCACGGUAGCUUUCUUAGGGGGGCUAGGCUGCGUAGCUUCGCACAACGUCCAGCAAAUGGCACCAGGGGUGGUAUCCUUCUUCUUUGGGAUGACCUUUUGGUGGAGAUGUCCAGCAUCACCAUCACCACCUUCUGCCUCUCAGCCAUGGUCCGUGUCAGAGACUCAGGCAUGAGCUUCAAGAUAACCACCGUUUACGGCCCCACCGACCACUCGCUCAAAGAUGUGUUCUUUGCCGAGCUCGUUAGCCAAAAGCCACCCGCUGGUGUGGCUUGGAUAGCCUUCGGGGAUUUCAACCAAAUUUACCGGGCAAGCGAUAAAAACAAGAGGAACGUGAACUGCAGCCGUAUAAAUUGGUUCUGUGCAACUCUCCACAGUUGUGAGCUCAAAGAAAUCCACCUCCAGAAUAGGAGAUUCACAUGGAGCAAUGAGAGGUCCAACCCUACCCUGUGCAAGCUCGACUCCUUCUUUUGCAAUGCGGAGUGGGACACAACAUUCAACGACCACGUGUUACAUGCGCUCUCCUCGUCCCUCUCCGACCACUGCCCGCUUCUGCUUGCUGAAGAUAAGGGGCCAAGGAGGCCUAGGACCUUCGAAUUUGAGAACUUUUGGGCUUCUAUGCCAGGCUUCUAUGACGUGGUCCACAAGGCCUGGGCCGAGCCAGUUGAGCAUACCGACCCAUACAUGAUCCUUUUCCACAAGCUCAAGAAAACGGCAAAGCGUCUCACGGAAUGGAGUAGAGGCCUCUUCUCUAAAGCCAAGAUCCACCUCCAUGCCGCCCUCUUGGUGAUCCUCCGCCUCGACAUUGCUCAGGAGGGAAGGUUGCUCUCCCCGGGGGAGCGCGACCUUGGAUCUCGGCUUAAGAGAAGGGCCAUAAGCUUGGCCGCGCUGGAGAAAGCACGUAAAAAGCAGUGUGCUAGAAUCGCAAACAUUAAGGAAGGGGAUGCCAACACCAAAUUCUUUCACCGUCGCGUUAACGCGAGAAGGAGGAAAAACUAUAUUCACCGGAUUAUGAAGGAUCAAGGGUGGGUGACCGAACACAAUGCCAAGGAGAAGAUAAUCCAUGACCACUUCUCGCAAGUAAUGAAAAGAGGAAGCGUAAGCACGAAGGACUUCAAUUGGGAGGAGCUCAAUCUGGAGUCGCAUGACCUACGUGAGCUUGACGCUCCCCUCUCUGAGGCGGAGGUCAUCGAGGCGAUUAAUAGCAUGCCGAGCGACAAGGCGCCUGGGCCAGAUGGCUUCACCGGCCUCUUCUUCAAAAAGUGUUGGGGCAUCAUCAAGCACGACCUCAUGAGGGUGAUUCAACGCUUUGACUCCCUCCACACAACAAACCUACACUGGCUCAACUCUGCGAAUAUUGUGUUGCUUCCAAAGAAGGAUGGGGCGGAGAGCAUCGUCGACUUUAGGCCCAUUAGCCUCAUCCAUGUAGUCGCCAAGAUCAUCGCGAAGGUACUCGCUAUCCGGCUUGGCCCGCACAUGUCCGCCCUCAUCUCCAACGCUCAAAGUGCGUUCAUCAAAACGCGGAGCAUCCACGACAACUUCAUGUAUGUUAGAAACCUUGCGCGACGCUUGCACAAGAGCAAGACUCCCUCUCUCCUAUUCAAGCUGGACAUCCGCAAGGCAUUUGACUCUGUCAAAUGGGAGUACUUGCUUGACCUCCUACGGAGGCGAGGUUUCCCAAGCAAAUUUCGAGAGUGGAUUGCGGCUCUGCUAUGCUCCUCAUCUUCGAGGAUCCUCUUGAAUGGGGUAGCUGGUACCCCCAUCAAGCAUGGUCAGGGACUACGGCAUGGGGACCCCGUCUCUCCCCUUCUUUUUGUGAUAGCUAUUGACCCAUUGAAGCAAAUCCUUGAUGUGGCGACAAGGAAGGGCCUUCUUCACAAGGUCCGAGGGAGAGGGGUCAUGGUGCGAACCUCUCUCUAUGCGGAUGAUGCGGCUGUGUUUGUAGCGCCGAUCAAAAGAGAUGUGGACAACCUCGCGGCCAUUCUGCGAGGUUUUGGUGAAGUCACCGGCCUUUGCACCAACUUCCAUAAGAGCCAAUGGUCCCCAUUCGGUGCGGCAACCUUGACUUGGGCCACAUCACACAAGGGCUACCGGCUAUCAGGGCUUCCUUUCCGCUCCGCUACCUGGGACUCCCGCUAUCUGUGUGGAAGCUGAAGCUCGCCGACCUACAAUUUCUUGUCGAUAAAGUGGCAAGUAGACUGACUACAUAUGACGGCCAAAACAUCACCACCAUUGGUCGCGCGGCCCUUGUUAAGUCGGUCCUUGCUUCCCAAGUGAUCUACUUCAUCACGCCACUUGUCAUUCAACCCACCAUUCUGCAAAACAUCGACAAGCCUGAGCGGGCCUUCCUAUGGUCGGGGUCGGAUACGACAUCCGGGGCAAAGUGCAAGGUCAAUUGGGAUGUUGUCAGCCGGCCGCUCGCCUAUGGUGGACUCGGGGUCCUCAACACCAACAAGUUCGCACGGGCUUUGCGUUUGCAGUGGCCUUGGUACGAAUGGAAGGAGCCCACAAAGUUGUGGGUUGGGAGUGGGAAUCUGUGCGAUGAGGAGGACCUUAACUUUUUCUACGCCUGUACCACCAUCACGGUUGGGAACGGUGCGAAGACUCCAUUUUGGGACUCCCCUUGGCUCCUUGGUCGCAAGCCCAAAGACAAUGCUCCGCUCAUUUAUGAGACUUCCUCCCGGAAGCACUGGAAGGUACGGGAGGCCCUCAAGGACAACGUGGAUCCUCAAAAUCAGACCGCCCGCAUCUGUUUCCAUCGAGCAUGUUGCGCAAUUCUUCACCCUUUGGAUGCUACUGCACGAGGUGCACCUGGAUGAGCUCACCGAGGAUGACAUCCUAUGAAAGCACACGGAAUCUGGGCACUACUCCGCGACCUCCGCUUACAGGGCACAAUUUUUGGGCUUGGUCCUCUCCCCCAUGGACCAAAUGGUCUGGAAGGCUUGGGCCCCACCAAAAGUCAGGUUCUUUGCUUGGCUCGUGCUUCAGGAUAGGAUCUGGACUGCGGACAGAUUGGAGAAGCGAGGAUGGCCUAACUGUGGCCCCUGCCCCUUGUGCCGACGGGUGCAGGAAUGUGGCCCUCAUCUUUUCUUCAGAUGCCAUUUCACUCUCAGGCUUUGGAACAUGGCUAUUCAGAAAUUUCGCAUCCACGACAUGGACACGUCCACAUGGCACCUGUUUGACUCCGUUCAUGCCUGGUGGGUGAGCACAUGCACCAGGGCACCACCGACAGAAAAGCAAAGGCAUCGAUUACCAUGCUAGUGUCAUGGGUCAUCUGAAAUGAGCGCAACGCAAGAGUGUUCAGGCAAAAGAGCGCACCUCCGCAAAUCUUGCUCAGCAUCAUUGAAGAUGAGGCAAACCCUUGGAUCAAAGCUGGGGCAAAAAAACUAGGGUCUUUUUUAUUGCAAGAAUAAUUGUCAUGCCGUAACUUGGAUGUGUGUUGUAACAAACUCUCUCUCCUUCUUAUUUAAUAUAUGAGGCAAAUCUUUUACCUCCGUUUCAAAAAAAAAAUUAUCUGCCUCUUGUUAGUCGGUUUUAAAGAGAAAAAAAAGCCGGUUUUAAAGAGUCUGGCUGUCAGUAACACGCGUACGGCAGUUGCAAUAUAAAACGAUUUUAUUUCUCGAUAAGUGUGAUUUGAUCUCCUAUUAAAGGACAAUAAUGUGAAUCCACGUGUAUGUGCAGCCAGCUGAUGAUCCUGAUUGAGUGACUAACUAGAGUAGAUAAGCACGAUUAGAUCUGCAACUCAUAUAAGGUGCUGGCCGCUGAUUAUUAAGAUUCCCUUGACCUGCUUAUAAGAGUAUGCAUUCCUUGAUACUCUUUUUGUUUUUGAGCUGCAUUGCUUGAUACUCGUGUAUGUAGCAGUUGGCGCACCUGGCUAGUAUUAUUGCUCUGGAUACGAUUAUGUGGCUUUCGCGGUUGAAAAAGUUGGCCACGAGUUUGUCAAAAGAGGUCGCUGUCACAGAUCCGGUUAGACUUCCACGGCAUUGUCUUUGACUAAAUAGUGUCCUUAAUAGACAUGUUUGACUAAUUUAGUGCUGAACGAAGCUUUGUCUUCGUGUGCCCUCGUCCGCUGGUAAUGUUCUAGGCAACUGAUAGGGUGUGUCAUAGGUCACAGAAAUAGCUCAUCUACUAGGAUUAGAGCAAAGUCUAAUAAUAAGACACAAUUUUUCUGUCGUGGAAAUAUUAAGACACAAUUAGCGGGUUGUAAAGAUUAAAAUAUUAUUUUUGCUGAAUUAGAUAAAAAAGAAGAGAGAAAAGAAGAGAAGUGGGCUGGGUUAAUAACCAACUGCAACACAGAUUUUCAGAAACAUUGUGAGAGUGUAAUAUGAGUCAUAUAUUAAUAAAGUAGUGUGGUAUUUCUUAGUAGUCCGUCCCUUUCAAAAUAUAAGAUGUAUUGAUUUCGUGCAAGUCAACCAUUUGAAUGGUUGAUCAAAAUUAUAAAAUAAAAUAACAACAUCUGCAAUAUCUAAUAAAUAUUGUCGACCCACUCGUGCUGCUCCGGGGGAAAUCUUAGGAUCUGGUGUUCCAGAUCAGACGAUGACGACACUGCGGUGUCGUUUCUCUUUUGGAAGCAUCGUUUUUGGAGCAGCGCUGGAAGUGAGAGGCAGGAGGUGGAGCGGCUUCGUCUUGCACGGAGCUUCGGUGGAGAUGUCAAGUCAUGCCUGGUCGGCAGGUGCUACGCAUGACAGAUCUUCCAAGGACUUCAAGCUGUGUCGACUGGUGGUACUUGACAGCAUGGCGCUGAGGUGUAUCAGUGACGUCCGCGACGUGCUCAGCUGUUUGCGCGCAGAGAGGAGGUGCCGUUGGGCGCCGUGGUGGCGUCGACGAUAGUUAGACUGACCAAGGUUGAUGCAGCAGUACAGUUCUGAAGAUGGAGCGGUGGCAGUUGGCGGCGGCGGCCUCUGAGAGCACGCCGGACCAUUAUGUACCCCAGACCCGACAAGUGGCUAGGUUGGGGUCUCAGGACUUAGAUGUUAGGCUUGGCUGCGAUGUCUGUUUGGUAUUAGGCUCAGGCUAUCUGCGCUCCUUCAUCAACUGGAUAGGUGUAGCGACAAUUUAUUGCUUAGACGGCGGCUUUAGUCUUACUGUUGUAUGACUUUGUAAGGUCUUCUGAGAAUAAUUAAUAAAGUGACCGUAUGCAUCGUCCAGAUGCAGAGGCCGGAAGUCGUCCUUCUUUUUUAAAAAAAUCUGCAAUAUCUAAUAGAUAAAAUAUGAAACUAUUUUUAAUUAUGGAUCAAAUGAUAACAAAUUCAUAUUGUGGAUAUUUAUAUUUUUUUUAGAAAAACUCGGUCAAACAUGUAGCCAUUUGACUUUUGAAAAUACAAAUACAGCUUGUAGGAAGGAACGGAGGAGUAACUAAUAAUAAGACAUGUUGCUAUUAGGUUGCUAUAUGUGACUUGACAACUUCCUAUAGCUGAUUGUUGGCUAUACUAUCGUUCUAUGUUCAAAGCGUCAUUUAGUACUAAAUUAUUUAUUUAAUCUUUAUUUGCUGUUAUUCAGUGUAAGUUUUCAUCUUGGACUACAGCGUACGGUGAUAAGUAGAAGAAUGCUAAUAUGAUUUUGAAUAUAGUUUUAUUUUUACUGAUCGUUCUAUGUCUUUGUCCAUUGUACUGUACUGACUAUUUUCCGGGUCAUAAUUAUCAAAUUUACUAUGCCUUUGAGAUGUCUUUAGAAAGAGUAUCUACUAGAUUAGCAGCCGUUUACACCUCUCAAACAAAAAGCGAAGCAGAUUGGCAGCCCUACAAAGCGAGGAGCCUUUUCAGAAAAAGAAAUAUACAGUACUACUAGCAUACUCACGUGCGGGACAGUUCUAGGAGCUGAUUUUUUAUGCUUACCUUUUUUUUCUUGCUUUGUUUCUUGUGCUGGUUACUGAACUUUUGAGUUAGCUUUGCCCGAAGUUCGGUGUGUCUUUUUCUCCCUGGCUAUAUGGAUCAGAUUCUUUAUCUAGAAUCUUGGGAGGUUGACGGGUCCGGCGAAUCACGGUCGAACUCGUGCGUCCAGAAGUCUCACUUCGUGCAUCAUCCUAUAUCAAUCAGAGGGAGGCUUGACCGAGAACAAUUGGAUUUGUUUACUUUUAGCUAGCACAGGUCCAAAGACUCGAUUGGCAACUGAAAAGUAGAUCGUUAUUCGGCUGUUGAAUGUAGUGCCUCUCGGCGGACCAAAAUUAACAUGCUAAGCCAGUCCCCAUAAAGUCUAACAUUACGGUUCCUCAUCGUUUUGUUCAUUGCUUUUGAUCUGUAACUCUCCCGGAUAUUUAGCUUUUUAUCGGAGUACUUAAUUUGGUAACUUGUUGAUGUAUGGAGGUUAAUAUAGCUUAAGUCCAACGCGGACCCUCAAAUCGCUAAUAGGAUCAUGCUGUUCAGACGUGUUUUAUUUAACCAGAUUCGGGCGUGUUAUGUCAUCUAACGCGGGUCUGUAUCUGCCCAAUUCAGAAGCAUUUUCUCCCGCAAAUCGGAGACAAAUGUUGGGGGGCUUUGCGGGCAUCCGGGCCGCUACCACGACCGCGUCUGGCCACCUUGGUCCACCCAAACCCCCUCCCCCACCUGCGCGUGCUUAUCACCUGAAACGGUUAGCGCCGCUCCAGAACACUAGUGCCACAUUCAUGUCCGGUCAGAGCGGACGUGACCUCUCACUAGCGCUAACAUUGAAGCGACGCACCGACCUAGAGAGCGCUGCCCGAGCCGCUUCUCGGUGCAUGUGACUGCUCCGCAUUCAAACGACACCACGGUCGCCCGUUCGUCCGUGUGCCGCCUGCAUUAAUGACACACGGUUGCCGAGGAACCUACUCCGACGCCACCCGUUCGUCCCUCUGCCACCCACUAUUGCCCCCUCGCCCGCUAUAUAAGCUGCAGCCUCGGGCAUAGCCGCAUUCAUCCUCCUCCGGUCCGUUUCUUCUCUUUUGCACCACUCCCAUCAUGACCUCCUCGCACGCCUAAGCUUUGUGGGACGGGCUAUCGCCAGAGCAGAAGAAGGAGAUGACUGCCAUUGAUGCCGGCUAACAGACCAACGAGCAGCCGGAGGCCACUGACGUCCCAAUGAAGGACGCGGGACCCUCCUCGCCAGCGCUACCUGCCUCGCGGUGCAUUGUGUUGGGGAAUGUAGCAUGCAAUUUCAAAAAAAAAUCCUACGAUCACGCAAGAUCUAUCUAGGAGAUGUAUAGCAACGAGAAGGGGAGAGUGUGUCCACAUACCCUCGUAGACCGAAAGCGGAAGCAUUAGGUUAACGCGGUUUAUGUAGUCGAACAUCUUCACGAUCUAACCGAUCUAGUACCGAACGUACGACACCUCCGAGUUCAGAACACGUUCAGCUCGAUGACGUCCCUCGAACUCUUGAUCCAGCAGAGGGUCCAGGGAGAGUUUCGUCAGCACGACGGCGUGGUGACAGUGAUGGUGAUGUGAUCUGCGCAGGGCUUCGCCUAAGCACUACGUGAAUAUGACCGGAGGAGUAAACAGUGGAGGGAGACGCCCCACAUGGCUUGGAACAAUAGGUGUGUCUCCAAGGGGUGCUGUCGCUGUCAAAACCGGCGGAUCUCGGGUAGGGGGUCCCGAACUGUGCGUCUAGGCCGGAUGGUAACAGGAGACAAGGGACACGAAGUUUUACCCAGGUUCGGGCCCUCUUGAUGGAGGUAAAACCCUACAUCCUGCUUGAUUAAUAUUGAUGAUAUGGGUAGUACAAGAGUAGAUCUACCACGAGAUCGGAGAGGCUAAACCCUAGAAGCUAGCCUAUGGUAUGAUUGUUGUUCUGUAUGUUGUCCUACGGACUAAAACCCUCCGGUUUAUAUAGACACCGGAGAGGGUUAGGGUUACACAAAGUCGGUUACAAUGGUAGGAGAUCUACAUAUCCGUAUCGCCAAGCUUGCCUUCCACGCCAAGGAAAGUCCCUUCCGGACACGGGACGAAGUCUUCAAUCUUGUAUCUUCAUAGUCCAGGAGUCCGGCUGAAGGUAUAGUCCGGCCAUCCGGACACCCCCUAAUCCAGGACUCCCUCAGUAGCCCCUGAACCAGGCUUCAAUGACGAUGAGUCCGGCGCGCAGAUUGUCUUCGGCAUUGCAAGGCGGGUUCUCCUCCAAAUUCCGUGUACCUGUUGAAUAAAGUCCGGCUUCUUGUAAAUGUUGUGCUCCUUGGCUUCUACGCCCAAUAAUGGCCGUCUCCCACGUGUCAAACGAAUAUGAAAAGUCUGAGUGUUUUUACAUCCACACCCCUAGCCGCGUAAAUGAGCCGCCCAUUUAAGGGGACAAGGAUUUAGAUCCAAACCACACCUUCUCCCCCACGCGAGUGUUCAUCAGAGCGCAUCCGACAAAGGUCCAUACCACCAUGGCCAGCCGUCACAACUCCUCCUUUCGCCCUUCCAGCCCUCAGCCUAGAUAUUGGGAGAGAUGCUCCAUCCCGCAUAGCGAGCUAGUGACGCUCCAGACCAAGGGAUUUCUCCCCCCGGCCUAUAUGGUCCCGGUUCGAGCCAGUCUUGCCAUCUAUAAUGGCGGAGAGCAAGCGGAGAGUGCCCCUAAUCCCUCCAAAGGAGAGCGGGUAUGACUCGUCCCUUAUUUAAUAAGAGGGCUCGGAUUUCCAAUCCAUCCAUUUCUCCGGGGGCUCCUGGAGUUCUAUGGCCUCCAGCUACACAAUCUUACGCCUGCCUCCGUAUUGCAUAUCGCGGGCUUCGUAGCCCUCUGCGAGCUAUUUUUGGGUGUUGAGGAUCAUUUCGGGCUGUGGAAAGAGCUAUUCUGCCUUGUGCCCCGUUCUCAGAAGGGGUCAAUAUAUCAAGUGGGCGGAGCCGAAGUGUGGCGCAUCGCCGGGACCGGAUAUCUGUCCGGAACCCCAAAGAAGGCGUCCAAGGACUGGCCUUCGGAAUGGUUUUACAUAGAGGACGUCCCGCUGCCGGAUCCUGUACAGAUCGGCCUCCCUGAGUUCGACAGUGCUCCACUAAAGAAGCGCCUAAGUUGGCGUCCACGGAGCCCUCAGAGGGAAAGUGACAAGGACGUCCUUUACCUGAUGGGCCGGAUAAGAUUGUUAGCUCAUUUCGGACUGACCAUGAUCGGGGUCAUGGCCGCAUGCAUCAUGCGAGGGGUGCAGCCGCUACAGUAUAGAGGCCACCCCAUGUGGGAUUUCAACGGGGAGGACGACGCCACCCGCUACGGCCGUAAGGGACCGGAUUCGGCUGCGACCCUAACAAAGACCUUGUCCGCUUUGUACAAGGGAGAAGAGGAGGAAUUUCUCCGCGUCAACCCACAGGGUGGAUUUUCUAUGUACAAUCCUCCAAGCUGGGUAAGUGGUCACAUUUACUUGCCCAUCCGUUUUAUAUUCCCAUUGUUAAAUAUUCAGUCUAACGACUUCAACGCAGGAACUGCGCCAGGCUGUUAAAGAAAUAAACAGCCCUCCUCCACAACCCGAGGACCCAGGACGGUCCCUCGACCCGGCCUCUCAAGAGGAUCCGGACUUAGCUGUGGAGCUGAUUGAUGGAGUGUUCCAUCAAUUGAGCAAGGACAACGCCUUGGUGGCCAUUACGGCCGAUUACCCAGGGCUAAUCUCGGCCUCCCAGGUAACUGAGAUCGAAGUCCCAGUACCCCGAAUAGGGGUCCGCCCUCUCGUGUUUUCAGUUUCCUGAUUACAACCGAGCUUUGCAGGGGAGGUUUUUGAGACGGGAGGCUGAACCUGCGGCGACAAGCCAACGAGGGGCCGCAGGGCCCCGUGGGCAGAAAAGAGGUGCAGUCCGGACCGAGGCGUCAGCGCAAAGGUAUGGCGCCCCCCCUUAUCCCAGGUGUUAUACCUUCAAGGCAUAUUAACACUCGUGCUCUCUUCAGGACAAAGAGACCUCGCCGGACUAUAUCCGGAGAGGCUGCCAAUCACGCCUCCACCAGCCAGGCUCCAAAGCCUGGUCCGGAGGCGGAGGCGAACACAAGGCGCGCACCGGACGCUCCUCCGACGGAGGAUGUGGACAGGUUGUCUGCCACCAACUCUGAGGUGGAGAGUUCCAUGAACCACAGGCGUCGCCGGACAAUUCUUCGCGACGCUUGUUUCUCCCGAGAGGCAUUAGAUGCCUUCAAUUCGGGAGAUGCGUACCUCUGUGCCGCUCAAAAUGGUCUAGCCAGAGCCACAGAGCAUAUGUAAAAGACAUACGGGUAAGAAAAUUUUGGUAAUUAUAUAUAUAUAUAUAUAUAUAUAUAUAUAUACCAGUAGCCCCCGAGACUUGAAACAGAUAGGAUAACUGAUUUAAGGAUCAUUUGUUAUGCAGGUUCUUACAGAAAAGAAUUCCCUACUGUCCCAGGAGCUGGAAGAGUGCAAAGCCCAACUUGAGGCCGCACUAGCCGCGGCAGGGGAGCCCAAGGAGACCCCCUCUGGUAAUAUACACUUCGAAAGAUAAGUAUUUUGCGAAGCACGGCAUGGGUGCGAAUCUGACAAAUGAAAUUGCAGAUGGCGCCGGAUUGAGUCCGGAAAGGCAACAACUCCUACGCCAGCUGAAGGCUGGUGAGAAGGUGCUGACAAAGGUGAGGCGGGAGAAGAACAAUCUCCAAGAUGCCAACACCAAGCUGGGCGUCGACCUGAAAGAUGUUCGUGCCCAGCUAUUAGACUCCGUUAAGGAGAAUCAGCGGCUUCGGCGCGGCAUAUUUAGUAAGUGCUUGAACGAACCUUUGAAAAAAGUUCAGCGGGGAAGUCGACUAACAGAGUAAUGUCUGUAGGUGUGCUAACAGGUCGUCCUGCAGAGGAGAUGCCCGGUUCUAUGGGUGACCUUCUUCCCGAGCUCUCGCAACUUCUCGAGCGAGUUCGGCAGGCGAUGCAAGGCGUCGCCCAGGCCUUGUGACCAUCCAUCUCCAUGCCCGAAGGUCUUGGAGAGCUUGUGGAGAAGCUAAAGGGAGCACGGCGGCGCUUCUGAUUGUGGAAGAUAUCGGCCUGCCGUCAAGGCGCUAGGGAGGCCUGGGCCAUGGUGAAGACGCGGUACACAAAGGCUGACCCCGACCACAUGGCCAAGGUCGGUCCUGUGGGGCCUGAUGGGAAGGAGAUCCCUGUAAGCUUAGUAUACGGCCAAGUAGAAUUGGCCGCAAAGUAUUCCCAGCAGGACUGUAAAUUAGACAGCAUGUUAGAUGGUACUGAAGAGGAAUACAAUCAGUCAGAAUGACUAUGUAAUUUAAUUGACAUUUAUAAUGCCUUCUAGCCGGAUUGUAGAUCGUUUGUCAUGGCCGACCUUUUCGCUUCAGCCUCGGGACCUGACGGUCCGGAGUGUGUCCGGAUUCCCAUGCGGUUAUAUAAGAACCGGGGAAUGCAUGGAGACCAGGCGUAGGGGUCAUUAGUGCGUGAACAGACAAGUGCCCGACUAGUUAUGUUAUAUUACAUGGUUAGUAAGAAACAUCUUCCAAGGAGAAUAGUUCUGUUAGGGGUUCCUUUCCCUGGGAGGCAUGCCCUAAAGUGCAUGCCCAUUCUGCGAAAAAGACGUGGGAAAAAGCAUCUGGGGGGCGCAUAAAUAAAUAAGUGAAAAGAUCAUCUUUUAGGUCACCGACCGAAUAUUCUCUUAAGAAUGCUAGCUUUCGGCUUCACCCAGUCUGAGGUACACAUCCGGUUGAUCAGGCAGUAACAAUCACAGAGGUGCUCCCUUUACCGCCUAGCCGAAUAAUCAGGAACGUAGGGGUAAGCACAGGAGCCAGGCAACCUAGCUUGGCCAAAACUUAAGUCAUAUCAAUGCAUAUAAUGGUGAAAUAAAAGGUACAUGCGGAAGUGUAACACAUGUGUUGGGCAUGAAGCCCGUAUAAAUAAGCUUCUGUUAAAAGAAGCCCCCAGGUUUAAUGAGUGCGAAUAGCACGUCAUUUGAUGAGACUUUAAAGGCUAUAAGAGAAAGGAAGGGGAGAAGGAGAGAAAUGUAAGACAGACAGUAUAUAAAAAAUGGACGGAGGAAGGAGACGAACACAGAGUCCGGCGCUAGGCAUAGAAUCUUCGGAGACGGGCUGCGUCCCAUGGGUUCGGCUCGAGUUGGUUAUCCGAUGCAUCUCGCAGGCGGUACGCUCCACCAGUCAGGACUUGGUCAAUUAUGAAGGGACCUUCCCACUUGGGCUUGAGUUUGUCCUUUUUCUUGUCCGGCAGGCGUAGAACUAAUUUGCCAACGUUGUAAUUUUUGGCCCGUACUUCUCUGCUUUGGUAUCUUCGAGCCUGCUGUUGAUAGAAUGCGAAACGGGCUUUUGCCACAUCACGCUCCUCCUCCAAUGCAUCCAAACUGUCCUGCCGAUCGAGCUUGGCUUCUCUUUCUUCGUACAUGCGCACUCGAGGUGAGUCAUGAAUUAUGUCGCAAGGCAAAACUGCCUCUGCGCCGUACACCAUAAAGAAUGGUGUGUAUCCGGUGGUGCGAUUCGGCGUGGUCCGCAGCCCCCAGAGUACGGAGUCAAGCUCCUCUACCCAGUGCGUGUUAGAUUCCUUGAGGGAACGCACUAAUCUGGGUUUGAUGCCGCUCAUGAUAAGACCAUUUGCACGUUCGACCUGGCCGUUAGUUUGUGGGUGAUAGACGGAAGCAUAAUCGAGCUUGAUGCCCAUGUUUUUGUACCAGAGUUUUACCUCAUCGGCCAUAAAGUUCGUGCCGUUAUCAAUGAUGAUGCUGUGUGGGACGCCGUAAUGGUGUACAACCCCGGAUAUAAAGUCUAUCACCGGUCCGGAUUCGGCCGUCUUAACAGGCUUGGCUUCUAUCCAUUUGGUGAACUUAUCCACCAUGACCAGUAAGUAUUUUUGCUUGUGGGUUCCGCCUUUAAGGGGUCCAACCAUGUCAAGCCCCCAGACCGCGAAGGGCCAAGUGAUGGGGAUAGUUUGGAGGGCGGUGGGUGGCAUAUGGCUUUGUUUGCAAAGAGCUAGCUACCGACGCAUCGUUGGACUAAGUCCUGGGCGUCUGCCCGGGCCGUCGGCCAAUAAAAGCCUGUACGGAAGGCCUUGCUUACAAGGGACCGAGCUGCAGCGUGAUGACCACCGAGUCCGGCAUGAAUUUCAGCCAGGAGGUUCCGCCCUUCCUCUUCGGAGAUGCACCUUUGAAGGACUCCGGUAGUGCUUUUCUUAUAAAGCUCUCCCUCGUGGACUUUGUAGGCUUUGGAUCGUCGCACUAUGCAGCGUGCCUCAUUUUGGUCCUCGGGGAGUUCCUGCCUAGUAAGGUAGGCGAGGAAUGGUUCUGUCCACGGGGCGAUGACGACCAUUAUUACAUGGGCUAAAGGUGUUAUUUCAUUGGCAGAGCCUCCGAUUGUGUCAGAAUGUUCGGUGUCGGGCAGUGCGGUUGGGUCCGGGCUGUUAUUGUUCGGCUCCCCUUCCCAUACUACGGAUGGCUUGAACAGCCUUUCCAAGAAGAUGUUGGGGGGGGGGACUACAUCGCGUUUUGCGCCGAUGCGUGCCAGGACAUCUGCCGCAUGAUUAUUUUCCUGGGCUAUAUGGUGAAAUUCAAGCUCUUCGAACCGAGCUGACAUUUUUAGGACGACGUUGCGGUAAGCUGCCAUUUUUGGAUCCUUGGCAUCGAAGUCUCCAUUUAUUUGGGAUAUUGCGAGGUUCGAGUCCCCGCGCACCUCUAGGCAUUGAAUGCCCAUGGAUACUGCCAUCCGGAGACCAUGUAAAAGGGCCUCAUAUUCGGCUGCAUUGUUGGAGUCUGUGUACAUAAUCUAGAGUACGUAUUGAACUGUGUCUCCUAUGGGGGACGUCAAAACGACGCCAGCCCCUAGUCCAGCCAACAUCUUGGAGUCGUCGAAAUGCAUGAUCCAAUUUGAAUAUGUGCCGUACUCUUUAGGGAGUUCGGCCUCCGUCCAUUCUGCGAUGAAGUCGGCCAAAACUUGCGACUUGAUGGCUCGCCGUGGCUUAUAAGUUAUGUGGAACGGGAGGAGCUCAAUGGCCCAUUUUGCAAUCCGGCCCGUUGCAUCACGGUUGUUUAUAAUAUCGUUAAGUGGUACUUCUGAGGCUACUGUUAUUAAACACUCUUGAAAGUAGUGUCGUAGCUUCCGGGAUGCCAUGAAUACCGCGUAAGCAAUCUUUUGAUAAUGCGGGUACCGUGAUUUGCACGGAGUGAGGACAGUGGACACAUAAUAGACCGGCUUUUGAAGGGGGAAUUUGUGUCCGUCCGUUUCUCGUUCGACGACGAGCACUGCGCUUACAACCUGAUGUGUUGCUGCAAUGUACAAUAGCAUUGGUUCGCCAAUGUUUGGCGCGGCCAAGACUGGGUUUGUUGCCAAUAUGGCUUUUAUUUCGUCGAGUCCGACCGUGGCUGCAUCCAUCCAUUCAAAGUGUUCGGUGCACCGAAGGAGGCGGUGAACGGGUAGGGCCUUUUCUCCCAAGCGGGAGAUAAAGCGGCUAAGAGCCGCCAUGCAUCCGGUUAACUUUUGUAUUUGUUUGAGGUCCUUUAGGAUAUCCAAUUGUGACAGAGCUCAGAUCUUGGCUGGAUUUGCUUCAAUUCCUCUACCGGAUACAAUGAAGCCCAAGAGCUUUCCGGCUGGGACGCCGAAAACGCAUUUUUCCGGGUUGAGCUUGAUGUCGUAUGUUCGGAGGUUAUCAAAUGUGAGCCUCAAGUCGUCUACUAGAGAUUCGACAUGUCUUGUUUUGACGACCACAUCAUCUACAUAUGCCUCCACUAUUUUGCCGAUCUGGUUUGCCAGACAUGUCUGAAUCAUGCGCUGAUAUGUUGCACCGGCGUUUUUGAGCCCGAAGGGCAUUGUGUUGAAGUAGAAUGGGUCGUAUGGUAUGAUAAAUGCUGUUGCGGCUUGGUCUGAUUCUGCCAUCUUGAUUUGAUGGUAGGCAGAAUAUGCAUCGAGGAAACACAACGAAUUGUGUCCUGCGGUAGCGUCGAUAAUUUGAUCGAUGCGGGGGAGGGGGAAGUGAUCCUUUAGGAAAGCCUUGUUAAGGUCUUUAAAAUCAACGCACAGGCGCCAGGAUUUGUCCUUCUUUGGUACCAUCACCAGGUUUGCUAGCCAGUCCGGAUGCUUUAUAUCUCUGAUGAAUCCGGCCUCCAAUAGCUUUUCUAGCUCCUCUCCCAUGGCAUGUCUCUUAGGUUCGGAAAAAUGCCGAAGAGCUUGUUUGACAGGUUUGAAUCCUUUUAGGAUAUUUAAGCUAUGCUCGGCCAGCCUGCGUGGGAUUCCUGGCAUGUCUGAAGGGUGCCAGGCGAAAAUGUCCCAGUUCUCUCGUAGGAACUCUCGCAGUGCGGCGUCUACAUCAGGGUUUAACCGUGCCCCGAUGGAAGCUGUUUUAUUGGGGUCCGUUGGAUGGACCUGGAAUUUGACUAUUUCGUCCGCCGGUUUAAAGGAGGUGGACUUGGAUCUUUUGUCGAGUACCACAUCGUCCCUAUUCACCGUGGAGCGCAGCGCAGUCAGUUCCUCAGCCACUAGGGCAUCGGAUAGUGCCUCGAGGGCCAGUGCGGCUGUCUUGUUUUCGGCGCGGAGUGCUAUGUCCGGAUCACUAGCGAGAGUGAUGAUCCCGUUAGGCCCGAGCAUCUUGAGCUUCAUGUACCCGUAAUGGGGUAUUGCUUGGAAGAUUGUAAACGCUUCCCGCCCUAGCAGAGCGUGAUAACCGCUGCUGAACGGAGCCACAUGGAACGUGACCUCUUCGGACCUGUAAUUAUCCGGCGUGCCGAACACCACAUCUAGUGUGAUUUUUCCUGUACAACGCGCUUCCCGGCUGGGGAUUAUUCCUCUAAAGGUUGUGCUGCUUCGCUCAAUGCCGUUCUAGUCUAUUUCCAUUUUUUGAAGGGUUUCCUCAUAAAUGAGGUUCAAUCCGCUGCCGCCGUCCAUGAGUACCUUGGUAAGACGAAAGUCGUCCACUAUUGGACUGAGGACCAAUACGGCUGGUGCUCGGGCUGUUCGGAAUUUAGGUUCAUCACUGGUGUUAAAGGUAAUAGCCGUGUCACUCCAUGGGUUUAUUGUUGCUACUUCGUAGACUUCGGCAAGGCUGUGGAGUGUCCUUUUUCGCAUAUUAUUUGAUGCGAAAGUCUCGAAGACUAUUAAUACCGUAUUGGUGUCUCUGGGGUGGCUUUCUGUGGCCUCCGGAAUUAGGAGAUCUUCGCUAAUUUUGGCCACCUGCCGGGGUAUCCAACAUCCUCUAAGGCUGUGAGUUGGUGUGGCGUCCUCUCUACUGUGAAUUUUAUAGGGUCCAUUAAGCCAUCCUUCCAGUACGGUUCCAUGCCCUGUAGAGGGUUUUUGCUUUUUGGUGUUUGACCCGGGUGUCUGGCGAUGAUGCACCCUUUUAUUUCGGACUGGGUUUGUAUUCAGGGCCGGAUCAUCCCAAAAUUUUAUUUCGGUUUUCUAGGCGCUUUCCAUUGCACAGUACUUUCGUACAAUGGACGCUAAGUCAGCAAAGCGUGUAAUAUCACGGUGACUUAUGGUGUUGAGGAUACCCUUGUCCGUGCAAUUAUUGCAGAAGAUUGAGAUUGUGUCUUCCUCGCGGUAGUCCCUUAUCCUGUUCCUAACCAGGAGGAAUCUGACCCAGUAAUGAUGUACUGUUUCAUCGGGCUCUUGCCUGAUUUGGGAUAGAUCACUUAUGUUCAGGUGGGUGGGUGGAAUUAAAUCUGAAGCCUCACCCAAUCUGAAGCUUAGAGACCGAGGAAUUUCCGAACUCGAAAAUUUGGAUUCCUGGAUGUUGUCCAAUGAAUCCAGCCCGUCGCCUGACUCUAAGUUCAGGUCUUGAGUGAUAUCCUCCCCUCCACGGGUAUCCGUCUUGGAGGGAUCGGGAAUCCGUAUGUAGCUAGUCCUUAAGAUAGAUGAAGGGUCGCCGCACUAUCCCUCUACCACGGCAACAUGAUGGGUGACUUGGGGAGAGUUAAUCUCUCUCAGAUCGGGUUUAGGCCCAAUCUGGUCGUAAUCCGUAGCGACUCCCAGGGCGGCGAUGCGAUCCAAGAGCUCGUUUAUGGAGGAGAGCUCCAUUGGAUCUAACUGCUCGGCGAGUUCCGAGCUGACAUGAAGAUUGUUUUCGAUGGCUCGAGAGGUCAUCGUCGGCGCAGAAGUCGAACAGGUGGUCAUAAGAAAACCACCUAGCCGGAGGGUUUGGCCGACAGCCAAAGCUCCCUUAGCAACGGUGCCAUCUUUAAAGACGGGGCGAGGCAUCCUUCCUGAUGGUGACGACACAGAGGAACUCUCAAUGAAAGCACCAAUGUCGGUGUCAAAACCGGCGGAUCUCAGGUAGGGGGUCCCGAACUGUGCGUCUAGGCCGGAUGGUAACAGGAGGCAAGGGACACAAAGUUUUACCCAGGUUCGGGCCCUCUUGAUGGAGGUAAAACCCUACGUCCUGCUUGAUUAAUAUUGAUGAUAUGGGUAGUACAAGAGUAGAUCUACCACGAGAUCGGAGAGGCUAAACCCUAGAAGCUAGCCUAUGGUAUGAUUGUUGUUCUGUAUGUUGUCCUACGGACUAAAACCCUCCGGUUUAUAUAGACACCGGAGAGGGUUAGGGUUACACAAAGUCGGUUACAAUGGUAGGAGAUAUACAUAUCCGUAUCGCCAAGCUUGCCUUCCACGCCAAGGAAAGUCCCUUCCGGACACGGGACGAAGUCUUCAAUCUUGUAUCUUCAUAGUCCAGGAGUCCGGCUGAAGGUAUUGUCCGGCCAUCCUGACACCCCCUAAUCUAGGACUCCCUCAGGUGCACUGCCCACGUAUAUAAAGGAGGAGGGGAGGAGGCCGACCACCAGGGGCGCGCCAAGGAGAGGGGAGUCCUACUAGGACUCCAAGUCCUAGUAGGAUUCGACCCCCCUUCUUUUCCUCUUCAUGGAGGGGGAAAGGGAGAAAUCACUAACUGAGGAGUAUUCGUUGCAAAGAUCACUCCAAUUCUCCUGGUUGCGACAAGUGGCGCACAUCACGCCACUUGUUGCAACCUAGGAGUUUUUCCUUUUUCGUAGAUUCAUUUAUUCAAAACGUUUUAUCUCUUAAACCGUGCGUCUAAAUCUCGAACCGCUUUCACCGUUGGAUUCCUCGCGUCGAGAUCUUCAAAACUAGAUCCCAUGUUGAUAGAUUUUGACAAAAAAAUUCACGAAAAAAACCGGACAAAAAACCAAACCGGAAGCACGGGUUUUUUCCUUUUCCGAAAGAGGCACGCCCAUGCCUCUCACGAAAUCGCAACCGUGCCUCUCGCAAAAGCAAAACCGUGACUCUCGCAGAAGGAAAAAAAGAGAGGGAGAACGCAUUUUUUUUUGUUUUCGAGGAGGCACGGCCGUGACUCUCGUGGAAGCACAACCGUGCCUUUUGCGGAAGCAAAACCGUGACUCCCACGAAAGAAAAGAAAAAACAGAAAACAUGUUUUUUGCCUUUCCGAGAGGCACGACCGUGACUCUCACGAAAGCACAACCAUGCCUCUCGCGAAAGCAAAACCGUGACUCUCAUGAAAGAAAAAAAACAGAAAACACGUUUUUCCCUUUCCGAGAGGCACGACCGUGACUCCCGCGAAAGCACACCCGUGCCUCUCGCGGAAGCAAAACCGUGACUCUCGCGAAAGAAAAAAAAACA
RNAcentral lists this long non-coding RNA (18842 nucleotides) under Triticum aestivum (bread wheat). RNAcentral's name for it is "long non-coding RNA (TAES_LNC020660)". The record is from RNAcentral. Lineage: Eukaryota; Viridiplantae; Streptophyta; Magnoliopsida; Poales; Poaceae.